RNAcentral lists this long non-coding RNA (629 nucleotides) under Mus caroli (Ryukyu mouse). RNAcentral describes it as "lncRNA (MGP_CAROLIEiJ_G0004694.1)". The record is from RNAcentral. Lineage: Eukaryota; Metazoa; Chordata; Mammalia; Rodentia; Muridae.
AGAUCUGCCUGCCUCUGCCGCUGAAGGGCUGAGAGGCCCAUACCCACCCCUGGCUCAGACUGAACUUUCAUGUGACUAUUUUUCAGUUUUUGGCAGAUGAGCCAAUUGCCCAUAGUAACCUCCCUGAGACAUGGCGAUUAUGGGCUUAUAAGGGAAGCGAGGGAAGUCCUUCUUCUUUCUUUUCUUUUUUUUAAAGAAUUAUUUCAUUUUAUUUUAUUUAUAUGAGUAGACUGUCGCUGUCUUCAGACACACCAGAAGAGGAAAUUGGAUGGCAUUACAGAUGGUUGUGAGCCACCAUGUGGUUGCUGGGAAUUGAACUCAGGAACUUUGGAAGAGCAGUCGGUGCUCUUAACCACCAAGCCAUUUCUCCAGCCCCUCCUUCCUUCUUUCUAUGAAUGUCUUUAAUCUGUGUGUAGCACAUGUCUGUGUGGGGGUUGUGCAGCUGUGUUUGUUCCCAGAAGAGCGAGGAGGCUUCACAUCCCCUGGGAUUGGAGUUACAGCCUCCCCCAGCCUUGAAGCUGGCUGAUUCAGACUUUGACCUUGCUGCCACUGAGAAUGAGACCACCUGGGGUGGAGCCUUCAGACCUAGAAGGCUCUAUUGUUCUGUCACCUGCUGCUGCUCUUCUCCA